RNAcentral lists this ribosomal RNA (468 nucleotides) under uncultured bacterium. RNAcentral's name for it is "partial 16S ribosomal RNA". It matches the Rfam family "Bacterial small subunit ribosomal RNA", at positions 28 to 507 of the family's 1533-position model. The record is from RNAcentral.
GACGAACGCUGGCGGCGUGCUUAACACAUGCAAGUCGAACGGAAAGGCCCUGCUCUUGUGGGGUGCUCGAGUGGCGAACGGGUGAGUAACACGUGAGUAACCUGCCCUUGACUUUGGGAUAACUUCAGGAAACUGGGGCUAAUACCGGAUAGGAGCUCCUGCUGCAUGGUGGGGGUUGGAAAGUUUCGGCGGUUGGGGAUGGACUCGCGGCUUAUCAGCUUGUUGGUGAGGUAGUGGCUUACCAAGGCUUUGACGGGUAGCCGGCCUGAGAGGGUGACCGGCCACAUUGGGACUGAGAUACGGCCCAGACUCCUACGGGAGGCAGCAGUGGGGAAUAUUGCACAAUGGGCGGAAGCCUGAUGCAGCAACGCCGCGUGCGGGAUGACGGCCUUCGGGUUGUAAACCGCUUUCGCCUGUGACGAAGCGUGAGUGACGGUAAUGGGUAAAGAAGCACCGGCUAACUACGUG